Molecule: long non-coding RNA, 1830 nt
Organism: Drosophila gunungcola (fruit fly)
Lineage: Eukaryota; Metazoa; Arthropoda; Insecta; Diptera; Drosophilidae
Exons: 6
Source: RefSeq, a predicted model, not a curated record
AAUGCGCGCAUCAUGGGCGAGAGUGGGCGCGCAAGGCCAAAACAGGUUGCCACACGAUGGGUGGCGGUGGGUGGUUUUCGUAUCCGUAACCGUAUCCACACACAUAUCUAUAUCCACAAAUAUCCCAAAGUUGUGAAUAACCCAAAAGUGCGUGCCCCUGAUUGGGCCAAGGUAGGAGUAUCGUUAGAUCAACAGCUCCACACGACAUGAGCAAACACAAGAGUGCCAAAGUUUACACUGUCACGUGCUUGUCAACCAACGUCUCGGCGGCUUUAUAACGCCCAUGACCCCGGGCACGCUGGAACGCUGAAACGCUGAAACGCUGAAACGCUGAAGCUUUACAAGUGACCCCCGGCCGCGUGGACUUUGCACCCGGUGAACGACAACUGCUGCUACCUGAACUACCUGAAGUCCCCACAGCGCUUUCAUCCCCGAAUUUUAUUUUAUUUUCUACCCCUACGAUCAUGGCAGAAUUUCGCUAGGAACUAAAAAAAAUUACAGCAUACUUUUAGGACGAUGCCAGGACACGGCCUGGCAGCAUUUCCUACAGGGCACGAAGGACAUCCUCGUCUACAUCAAAAGAGAGCGCCCACAAGGGAUACAGUUGUUAACGUGGCCAAGGAGCAGCGUCUAUGGCGGGGACAAAAACACCAACAUGGUUGCCACGAGUGUCGCGAAGGACGAAGGAAGAGAAACGAGGGCUGCAGUUGAAGGAGCAGAAGCAGGGCACUUUAUGUGCAUAUAAUGUUCGCACACACACUGAGGGACGACCCUUCGAGUACAGUGUCGGCCAAGUUGCGGGGAAUUGUUAAUAUUGUCUGGGCCUGUAAGCAGCAUUUACAUGCUGGCAGACACCACGUACUACAUACGUCCAGGCUGAUGGACGAGCUCCUGUUUCUGAUCCCGCUCCAGCUCCAGCUCUAGCUCCUAGCGGAUGAUGCCGGCUUUAAGUAGGCCCGCCCGGCAACAGAAAUUGGUUUAAAAAUAUCCACAUCCUUGCAUUUUGCAGAUGUUGAAUUAACCGACCCGGCUUUCAUUAGAAGCAAAGGAUGGAUUCAGUGCAGGAGUUUCAGGAUGUGAAAAGCCCAAAUACCGAUGCAUUCUUGAUUCGUGACAUUAAGACAAAAAUAAACUUGAUUUUGGUAUAAAAUUGAUUCAUUCAUUUUCAAUCCAUUGAGUAAGAUUCUUAUCCGAUGGAUGAGUCGGGCCAGCCUCAGCACAUCCAACUGUGUGCGCAUCCAACAGGUAGUCAGACCAGACAAACUGUCUCCACUUGGAAUCCAAGUUUUUUCCCACUUCUUUGUUUUUUAAAUCGUAAGAGUACAUGGAUUUUGAAUAGAGGAAUAAUUUCUUUUAUUUCAGAAACUGAAACCAAAAAGCUUAUUUCUGAUCGUUUGAAUUGCAUAUUUCUGAAUUCAAUCCUGGCUGCAAGAAAACUCCGCUGGAACUAUACGAGGUCCAACCUACUUCCUCAUCUGCAUUCUUAUUUUCAAUGGACCGGCUCGAAACAAUUGGACAUUAAUAUUAACAAAACACUUAAAAUUUGAUUAUGAAAAUGUACACAAUACUGUGAUACUGUUGUAACUUAAAUAUUUUUCAAUAUUGUCCAACAAGAAUUUAUUGAAUAUAAAUAGAUGCACAUUUUCCAUCUUAACGAUAUCUUGGUAGCUCAGAGUAUAAUUAAUCUUAAUGAAAAUAAUGUUUACACUUGUUAAUUUUUUUCAUCAAAAUAUGUAAAACGAAAUCUUUAACUUAAGAAGAACCAAAUUGCAAGAACUACAUUACAAAAACAGAUUAUAAAAAUAUUUAUGUUAAAAAAAUCAUGUCUAU